GAUGAACGCUAGCGGGAGGCCUAACACAUGCAAGCCGAGCGGUAUUUGUUCUUCGGAACAGAGAGAGCGGCGCACGGGUGCGGAACACGUGUGCAACCUGCCUUUAUCUGGGGGAUAGCCUUUCGAAAGGAAGAUUAAUACCCCAUAAUAUAUUGAGUGGCAUCAUUUGAUAUUGAAAACUCCGGUGGAUAGAGAUGGGCACGCGCAAGAUUAGAUAGUUGGUGAGGUAACGGCUCACCAAGUCAAUGAUCUUUAGGGGGCCUGAGAGGGUGAUCCCCCAGACUGGUACUGAGACCCGGACCAGACUCCUACGGGAGGCAGCAGUGAGGAAUAUUGGACAAUGGGUUAGCGCCUGAUCCAGCCAUCCCGCGUGAAGGACGACGGCCCUAUGGGUUGUAAACUUCUUUUGUAUAGGGAUAAACCUACUCUCGUGAGAGUAGCUGAAGGUACUAUACGAAUAAGCACCGGCUAACUCCGUG
RNAcentral lists this ribosomal RNA (479 nucleotides) under uncultured bacterium. RNAcentral describes it as "partial 16S ribosomal RNA". It matches the Rfam family "Bacterial small subunit ribosomal RNA", at positions 28 to 507 of the family's 1533-position model. The record is from RNAcentral.